UUCACAUGGAGCCAAUUUCUAUUUCGAGACCCCAGCUGUUAGCAUUCAUCACUUCUGAGGCUGUGUAGAGUGGUAUUGCUAACCACCCCAAUCCUUCAGCCACUGGAGGGAUGGGGAUGGGCCCCCACUAUUUAUAGCUGGGGAGGAGCCUCUUAACAUUUCUGUUUUAGAAUAUCAUCAUGUUCUGGUGAACUGGAAUUGUGAUGAAAGGAGUUUGGAUAAGAAGUAAAUUGGGGCAAGCUAGCCUGCUUUCCACCAGAGCAUCUCCCUCCAAAGAUGCAAGUGUGUGGAAAUGAGACUGCAGGGAGAACUUCCAGGCAACAAAGGAUGUGAGACUAUAGAAGAGGCACUAUAGCUGGGCUCAUGGAGGAGGGAUGCCGCUCUGGACUUUGCCCAGGGGAUGCUGGAUCUCUGAUAUGAAGGAAGAAGAGGGGGAGGAAGGGUCCCCAAGCCUCUGACCUUGAUCUGAGCAUCACAGAAGCCUCCUCCCCUGAGGAUCCUGCAGUAGCCAAGCCACCAGCUUUCACAGAUGAUGGCUCACACUGAAAUAACUUGUUCCUAGGGUAGUUGGUGAUCAAUGACUCAAAUUAAACCUUAGAAAAGUUUUUUUUCUUCCUGACACUUUAUAGGUUUCUCUACUUAUCUCCUCCCUGGAUGGCUGUAUAAGCCAGAUGACGGCUACCUGAACACUCUAGAAAAAGUGAAUUCACAGAGGCUUUCACAGGGCACAGCCUCGCAGUCUGGAGGGAGAAGAGGGCAAAGCAGUCUUCACGGAUGCCACCUACUGCCUAGCUGGGCAGAGAGCCAGUGGAUCAGAGAGGCCGGCUCUGUUCUUGGCAGGAAAUGAGGGGCUGGCAUGGAAAUGCCACCCAGGCUGGGAACAAGAUCUGUGGAGUGGCAGCCUGAGUGGGUGAGCUUGAUCUGCAGUCCUUUCAUCUCAAAGAGAAUGGCCAGCAAGGAGCCCAUUCAUGGAGCCUUGUUGGACAACUCCACCUACACAGUCUUCAGUGGUGCUCUGGAGAACAGAAGCUGACAACAGGCUAUGGUGAUCCAGAGUCCUCACCGUCUACUCUCCCAUCCCUUCAACCAAACUUUCCUGGGCAACUCUGAUGCCAGGCAUUUCUAGCACUGUGACAGAACCUGGUGGAGGACAGAGGGCUCCACUUCAAAGGUAACCACCUGUCUCCUUCUGCUAUAACAGGGCUGACCUCAGUGCAGCAGAGGGCAGAGCUUGGAGGCAGCUGCUGAGAAUUUGCACUCUAAAGACAUCCACCUAAAUCACAAGCUUUAUAUCUGGGCACUCAGCCAGACCUCCUGACCAUAUCCUGGACUGCGGACUUUGGAUGGUGGAACGGGGGUGGAAUUGAACAUUAAAUGAGCAACAUGCUAAUUCCAUGCAAAUGAAUAUCUAUUUUGAAUCAACAGCUUGGGCACUUUUUCUAGGAGGGCUGAGGCAGCAGGAAUCUAAAGAGAGGAUGAGAGGGGGAGGGGUUUCUCUCAGAGGUGGCAGAGAGUGCAAAGGGGGCUCCAGGCUGGGCAGAGCCACCUCCUGCCCACAGUUCCUAAUGCUAUUUGAUUGGCUCAUUAGCAAGUAUGAAACAUGGGAAGUCCAAAAAAAAGGAAUAAAGAAAAAAACCCCAACUCUGAAAUGAAUAAACUAACAGAUGGAGACUUAAUUCAAUUUGCAUGCAACCUACCCUAGCACCAAGGACUUUGUUUGCUUAACAAUGGAGACCCUGGGGGUGGGGAGGGGUCCCUCCUGCAGAGGGGCUGAUGGGGAUGAUCCCAGAUCAUCUCUUCCAUGCUGCUCUUAUCCUUUCCUGGCGGCCAGAUGGGUAUUCUUGUUUUAAAGCUCCUCUCCCUUGGGCUGGUCCUGAAUUCAUUGUCUUAUCCAGAGAGAAAGGUUCUUGGGUAGAAAUGAGGCUGGCUUUGUGGGAAGGAUGGGGUGGGGAACUGUGGGUAGCAGCAGCAGAGGGGGAUGAAAAGCCAUUCAGAAGCCAAGGGACUAGGUCAGGGGGACACCUGCCCCCACAUCUCAGCCUGCCCCCAAGCCCCACACUCAGAGUGAAUCAGAAGGCCAGGUAGCUGGGAAGCAGAGACUCAACCCUGGUCUGCCUGACUCCAAAGCCUGCAUCCUUUCCACUGUAUAUCCUGCUCCCAAGACCUGGAUCCAAGUCUUGCUUUGCCACUAACUAGCUGUUUUGAUUGUCAUCAGGUGACCUGAAGUCUCUGAACAUUGAGAUUCCUCAUUUGAUGAGCAGGAAUAAUAGCCAAAUGAACCUCGCCAUAGCUGCUGUGCAGCAAAUACCAAAUGUGUGGAUAUGGAAGCAUUGUGUGCUGUUUGCAUUUCUAUCCAGGUUCUCACAUUAGGGACAAUCAUUGCUAGGGUCCAGGGUGUCACUCACCUUCCUUCCCUCUAGGGAGCUGACAGAUGGGGUAUAUGCACAAAGAACAGUAACCAAAUGGGAAAAGAUGAACUACUUUACUAAACAUCAUAGCAGUGCCAAGCUCUGGCAAAAGCCAGAUAGGCCAAAUCCUGAAACAGAAUCCUGGGAAACAAAUCACACUUCCCCUGGCCCACAGGGAGAGAGGAAAAGAGAGAGAUGGCCUGGCAUCCCUGAGCACAUGUCUGACCAACCACAGGGUAUGGGCUGUAGGCCUAUCUCAGCCUCUAAGGUGCAAAAAGGAACAGAGAAAACCAGGGUGUUCACAUCUGGUUUUAGAAGGGUCCAGGUGUAUGUAGGAGAGGAAUAACUUUUCCUAUGCCCUCUUAAGUUCCGUGGCCAGCUGGGCCUGACAAUUAAGUUGACAUAGACUAACAAGAUAAAACCAUACGAAUUUUAUUUAAUAUUUUUGUGUGUACAUGGGAGCCUUCAUAGGAAAAAUGAAGAUCUGAAGAAGUGGUUAAGACCAAGAGUUUAUGUACCUUUUUAAACAAAGAUUAAUAAAUUUUUGAAGAAGUGAUGAGACAAAGAAAAAGGGUGUUAAAUUUCUAAGUGUGGUAAUUUGUGGGAAAAUGAUGAGGAAAUAUGUGGGGGAAAACUAAAGCAAGAGAAGGAUUAUUUUAGUAGGUUUGUUUGUACAGAUCCAUUUCAGCAUUUGACUCCUAGUCUCUGGGUAAGAGUAUUCUCUAUCUGAUGUAGGAGCCAAGGGGUUGGCCCUCUGAAGGUUUACUGAAAAAUCACCUCACAAAAGGCAGAUUAAUUGGGGGAAAAAAAAUACAAAUCUAUGUAACGUGUACACAUGGGAGCCUGCAGAAUGAAGAUCCAAAGAUGCAGGGGAAAUUGUCCAUUUUUAUGUUUAGGUUCAACAAAGUAUGGACAGCCAUGUAGAAAUAUGAUUGGACAAAAAGGGUCUGAUCUAAUGCUAAUAGAUUGAGUAUGGAAAUCCAGCAAGGUCUGUCUGUCUAGAUUCUUCUUGACAUCUCUGAGCAUGCGUUCCUUCCUCCUGGGUGUAGGACAGGUCUCCCUCUGGAGUAGAAUCUUACGACCUACAGUUAAACAAAGUAGAUUGGAUAAUUUCUUCAUGGCCAGUUUUUACAUAGAAAGGUAGAGGAAAAUUAGAGUAAUACUUUUAAGUUAUAUUGCUGGCUUUGGGGAAAAGGAGUUCUGGUUUCUGAGACAACCCUCAGGGAACAGGGAUUCUCAUUUUUAUGGCUGGCCUCAGGGGGGAAUGGGACUGAGAGAGAGAUGAGGGCAGGAGAAGGUCAGAGAAACACUUUCACUUCCGAGGCCUUCAUUUUGCAAUAUUGCUUUCCAAGCCUCAACGUGGGUACAAGGAGGACACCUUUCUCGUAGAAAAUCUUAUGACCUGCUUUUAGGUAGAAAGGGAAGGUCAGCGAGCCCUUCCUGCAUCUGCUGCUUCUCAAGUGCCUUCAGCUCAAAAUAUCUCAUAUGCCAAACGGGCAUAUUUUGGGGUGGCAUGUUUUGAACUCCCUCCUGUGCUUUGCCUGGGGACAAAAAGGAGACCCCCUGGCUUUCUGCAAAAUAAAUGAGAAGGGACCGUGCUUUUGAAGGCCCAGGACUUGCCUCAAUAGUAAGGGUGGCUACUGCCAUGUUAGGCUUUGACCUAUCGAUUUCCUACCUGAGGUUUUUUAUGGGAGGCAGGAUGGCUCUUCUUGUUGUUCUUUUUCUCCCUGUCCUAUAUAUAGGGCAAGGGACAGGCAUGAGAACUUUUUGCCUCAGCAAUAUUUGACCCUGAUUCAGAGAGCUAGGUGCUGGGGACUUCAUCUCUCUUGAAAGUCAGAAUCCUCAACUCAACCUCAAUGAAGGCCCAGGUGCUAUUGGAAGUAUCUGCAGAAUCACAGUUUCAUUUGCCAGAGGUGUGGGAAGUAAGAAGGACAAAGGAGGUCAUGAGGGAGGAAGUCAGGUCUGGGAAUUCAGAUCUAUCUGCCAAAUAACUGAUCAAUUAGUGUUGCUCAAGUUGAAAGGCUGCCCUGUUGGACAACUUCCUUUGUCAUCUCUUUUCAGUGGAAAGAAAAUGAAUAUUGAUCCUGUUCUUGGCUCCAUGCUCAGCCCCUUCAAAUGAAUAUGAUUGGGUUUUCCCAAUGUAGUGGGUGACACUCGGACGUUUAGGGGUAAUUGCAUCUUCUCAGAACUCAGCCCUUGAAGUGGGGGCUGAUUGAAGUGAGUCUGAGAGGAUUUGGGGGUCACUAGAGGUUAGAAAAAGGCAGCUUCAGGUCUCAGAUGGUGUCAGACUGGUUUUCUGCAUCCUCAAGGGGCAGGCUUUGAACCUGAGUCACCUUAGAACUGGCUCAAAAAUUAAGUUUGCAGAAGCUAAAAAAUGGUUCCAAUGAAUCGUGGGAGACCAGAAUAUGCCACCCCAAAAUAUGCCUCUUUUGCAUAAGGAUUGUUGAGCUGAAGGCAAUUAAGAAUAAGCAGCUGCAGGAAAGCUCUCUGCCCUCCCUCCAUUUGCCUAAAAGCAGGACACAGAUUUACAAAGACAAAAGGUAUCCUGUCCCUACUUCUAACAAGGAGAACACAGGAUAAACUUUGAAGACAACUUUAGAUCCUUAUUCCACCUGGAGACAGCACCAGAGGAAUCUGCAUUAACAAGCUUUACUAACUAACAUUUAUCUGCCAUUUAUUUGCCUUUCCACAAGUCGCUGCCCCUAGAGACUCAAAGUCCUUUUUCUUUGUCUUUUCACAUCUCUAAAAAUUUACUGUUCUUUGUUGAAGAUGCUAUAUAAGCUGAACUUCAAAGACACUUCUUGGACUUCAAGGACACCCACUCAUUCUCUGGGUGUCUCCCAUGCAUGUGUGAAAUAUAUAUAUUAAUAAAUGCCUUUUUGGUUUUCUU
Molecule: long non-coding RNA, 5298 nt
Filed under: Homo sapiens (human)
Lineage: Eukaryota; Metazoa; Chordata; Mammalia; Primates; Hominidae
Description: HSALNT0181262
Source: RNAcentral